CCUACGGGAGGCAGCAUUAGGGAAUCUUCGGCAAUGGACGAAAGUCUGACCGAGCAACGCCGCGUGAGUGAAGAAGGUUUUCGGAUCGUAAAGCUCUGUUGGUAGAGAAGCACGUUGGUGAGAGUGGAAAGCUCAUCAAGUGACGGUAACUACCCAGAAAGGGACGGCUAACUACGUGCCAGCAGCCGCGGUAAGACGUAGGUCCCGAGCGUUGUCCGGAUUUAUUGGGCGUAAAGCGAGCGCAGGUGGUUUAUUAAGUCUGGUGUAAAAGGCAGUGGCUCAACCAUUGUAUGCAUUGGAAACUGGUAGACUUGAGUGCAGGAGAGGAGAGUGGAAUUCCAUGUGUAGCGGUGAAAUGCGUAGAUAUAUGGAGGAACACCGGUGGCGAAAGCGGCUCUCUGGUCUGUAACUGACGCUGAGGCGCGAAAGCGUGGGGAGCAAACAGGAUUAGAUACCCGCGUAGUC
This 465-nucleotide ribosomal RNA is filed under the name uncultured bacterium. RNAcentral describes it as "bacterial SSU rRNA". It matches the Rfam family "Bacterial small subunit ribosomal RNA", at positions 338 to 795 of the family's 1533-position model. The record is from RNAcentral.